AAAUUGAAGAGUUUGAUCAUGGCUCAGAUUGAACGCUGGCGGCAGGCCUAACACAUGCAAGUCGAACGGUAGCAGGAAUCAGCUUGCUGAUU
This 92-nucleotide ribosomal RNA is filed under the name Escherichia coli. RNAcentral's name for it is "partial 16S ribosomal RNA". It matches the Rfam family "Bacterial small subunit ribosomal RNA", at positions 1 to 93 of the family's 1533-position model. Lineage: Bacteria; Pseudomonadati; Pseudomonadota; Gammaproteobacteria; Enterobacterales; Enterobacteriaceae. The record is from RNAcentral.